AGUGAACGCUGGCGGUAGGCCUAACACAUGCAAGUCGAACGGCAGCACAGUAAGAGCUCGCUCUUACGGGUGGCGAGUGGCGGACGGGUGAGGAAUACAUCGGAAUCUACUUUUUCGUGGGGGAUAACGUAGGGAAACUUACGCUAAUACCGCAUACGACCUACGGGUGAAAGCAGGGGAUCUUCGGACCUUGCGCGAUUGAAUGAGCCGAUGUCGGAUUAGCUAAUUGGCGGGGUAAAGGCCCACCAAGGCGACGAUCCGUAGCUGGUCUGAGAGGAUGAUCAGCCACACUGGAACUGAGACACGGUCCAGACUCCUACGGGAGGCAGCAGUGGGGAAUAUUGGACAAUGGGCGCAAGCCUGAUCCAGCCAUACCGCGUGGGUGAAGAAGGCCUUCGGGUUGUAAAGCCCUUUUGUUGGGAAAGAAAAGCAGCAGGUUAAUACCCCGCUGUUCUGACGGUACCCAAAGAAUAAGCACCGGCUAACUUCGUG
Molecule: ribosomal RNA, 492 nt
Filed under: uncultured bacterium
Lineage: Bacteria
Description: partial 16S ribosomal RNA
Rfam family: Bacterial small subunit ribosomal RNA
Source: RNAcentral